Molecule: transfer RNA, 73 nt
Filed under: Ictidomys tridecemlineatus (thirteen-lined ground squirrel)
Lineage: Eukaryota; Metazoa; Chordata; Mammalia; Rodentia; Sciuridae
Description: Spermophilus tridecemlineatus (thirteen-lined ground squirrel) tRNA
Rfam family: tRNA
About the family: Transfer RNA (tRNA) molecules are approximately 80 nucleotides in length.
Source: Rfam by way of RNAcentral
GGGGAUAUAGCUCAGUUGGUAGAGUGCCUGCCUCACAUGUACAAGGCCCUGGGUUCAAUCCCCAGCACCACCA